GCACUGCUGACGAGUCCCAAACAGGACGAAACAGCUAGCUGUCCAAUGC
Molecule: non-coding RNA, 49 nt
Filed under: Echinostoma caproni
Lineage: Eukaryota; Metazoa; Platyhelminthes; Trematoda; Plagiorchiida; Echinostomatidae
Source: RNAcentral